UACGUGGGGUGCAAGCGUUGUCCGGAAUUAUUGGGCGUAAAGAGCUCGUAGGCGGUCUGUUGCGUCGGCUGUGAAAACCCGGGGCUCAACUCCGGGCCUGCAGCCGAUACGGGCAGACUAGAGUUCGGCAGGGGAGACUGGAAUUCCUGGUGUAGCGGUGAAAUGCGCAGGUAUCAGGAGGAACACCGGUGGCGAAGGCGGGUCUCUGGGCCGAUACUGACGCUGAGGAGCGAAAGCGUGGGGAGCGAACAGG
RNAcentral lists this ribosomal RNA (253 nucleotides) under uncultured bacterium. RNAcentral's name for it is "partial 16S ribosomal RNA". It matches the Rfam family "Bacterial small subunit ribosomal RNA", at positions 524 to 776 of the family's 1533-position model. The record is from RNAcentral.